RNAcentral lists this ribosomal RNA (530 nucleotides) under Amolops sinensis. RNAcentral describes it as "partial large subunit ribosomal RNA". It matches the Rfam family "Bacterial large subunit ribosomal RNA", at positions 1816 to 2571 of the family's 2925-position model. Lineage: Eukaryota; Metazoa; Chordata; Amphibia; Anura; Ranidae. The record is from RNAcentral.
CAUCGCCUCUUUGGCCAAUAUAAGAGGUUCAGCCUGCCCACUGACAUAGUUUAACGGCCGCGGUACCCUAACCGUGCGAAGGUAGCAUAAUCACUUGUUCUUUAAAUAAGGACUCGUAUCAACGGCAUCACGAGGACUAUACUGUCUCCUUUCUCCAAUCAGUGAAACUGAUCUCCCCGUGAAGAAGCGGGGAUUAACCUAUAAGACGAGAAGACCCCAUGGAGCUUAAAGCCCACAAACACCUCUACGCACUUAAACCAAUUUAGCCUAAGAGACCUGUAAGCCGGCUUUAGGUUGGGGGGACCGCGGAGAAAAACCUAACCUCCACGACAAACGGGCAAACGCCCUUAUCCAUGAAUUACAAUUCUAAGAAUCAAUAAACUGAUGUUUAAUGACCCGAUUAUUCGAUCAACGAACCAAGUUACCCUGGGGAUAACAGCGCAAUCUACUUUAAGAGCUCAUAUCGACAAGUAGGUUUACGACCUCGAUGUUGGAUCAGGGUAUCCCAGUGGUGUAGCCGCUACUAAAGG